GACGAACGCUGGCGGCGUGCUUAACACAUGCAAGUCGAACGGAAAGGCCCUGCUUUUGUGGGGUGCUCGAGUGGCAAACGGGUGAGUAACACGUGAGUAACCUGCCCUUAACUUUGGGAUAACUUCAGGAAACUGGGGCUAAUACCGGAUAGGAGCUCCUGCUGCAUGGUGGGGGUUGGAAAGUUUCGGCGGUUGGGGAUGGACUCGCGGCUUAUCAGCUUGUUGGUGGGGUAGUGGCUUACCAAGGCUUUGACGGGUAGCCGGCCUGAGAGGGUGACCGGCCACAUUGGGACUGAGAUACGGCCCAGACUCCUACGGGAGGCAGCAGUGGGGAAUAUUGCACAAUGGGCGGAAGCCUGAUGCAGCAACGCCGCGUGCGGGAUGACGGCCUUCGGGUUGUAAACCGCUUUCGCCUGUGACGAAGCGUGAGUGACGGUAAUGGGUAAAGAAGCACCGGCUAACUACGUG
Molecule: ribosomal RNA, 468 nt
Filed under: uncultured bacterium
Lineage: Bacteria
Description: partial 16S ribosomal RNA
Rfam family: Bacterial small subunit ribosomal RNA
Source: RNAcentral